GUUCAUCCUAUAGAGUUGCAGAGGAAAUCUUGGCUCUAUAAGAAUACUAACAGACGGAAUACUAUGCAGCCAUAAAAGAGGAUGAGUUCAUAUCCUUUGCAGGGACAUGGAUGAAGCCUGAAACCAUCAUUCUCAGCAAACUAACACAGGAACAGAAAACCAAACCACAUUCUCUCACUCGUAAGUGGGAGUCCAACAAUGAGAACACAUGGAAACAGGGAGGGGAACACCACAAACCAGGGCCUGUUGGCAGGUAGGGGGCUAGGGGAAGGAUAGCAUUAGGAGAAAUACCUCAUGUAGAUGACAGCUUAAUGGGUGCAGCAAAGCAUGUGUAUACCUUGUAACAAACCUGCAUGUUCUGCACAUGUAUCCCAUAUGUAUCCAAGUAUAAUAAUAAUAAAAAAGAAUACUAUUAGUAUUUUAUAGAUUUUAUAACUUCCAAUGGGGCUAUCUGGUGCAAGCACCAGUUUUUUUGUCUGAAUUACUAUAAUAGCCACUUAACUGCUGUUCCAUCUUGAACUCUUCCUCUUUAUAGUAUAUUCUCAACAUGGAAGCAAGAACAAUAAUUUUAAAAUGUAAGGCAGUUCACAUUAGUUUUCUUUAUAAAACCCAGAAACUUUACAAUGGCUUUGAAAGUCCCAUAUAACAUGGCUUCCUUCCACUACUUGCUCACAACAAUUUGGCACACUGACCUCCCUGUUCUUUCUCACUCAAGGGUGUUGCCUCUUUAGGGAUUCCACAUUUGCUUUUCUCUCUGACUCCAAAGUUCAUAAUGCAUAUAAUUGCAUCGCUUAGUCUCUCAUCUGCUGCCAAGUUCUAGCUUGAAAAUACUAUCUCCUCACUUAGGUCAAACAUGAUACCGCUAUUUGAAAUUGCAAAUUAUAUGCCCCUUCUUCCUAACCUGUCAUUCUAGAUCAUCUCACCUUGAUCUAUACAUAUUUUUCUAUGGAAUUUAUCACCUUACAACAUGCCCCAUAAUGUAAUUAUUUAAUGUUUAUUAUGUAAUUGAUUAUGUUUCCCCCUAAGAUGAGCUUCAACAAGAGCAGGAAUCUCUGUUUUGUUCACUGAUACAUCUCUAUGUUCUUAGAAAAAUCUGUAGUAAAUAAUAGUCACUGAAUAAAGUCUUAUUUAAUAAAUGGAU
This 1141-nucleotide long non-coding RNA is filed under the name Homo sapiens (human). RNAcentral's name for it is "HSALNT0093479". The record is from RNAcentral. Lineage: Eukaryota; Metazoa; Chordata; Mammalia; Primates; Hominidae.